GACGAACGCUGGCGGCGUGCUUAACACAUGCAAGUCGAACGGUGAAGCGCCUUCCUUUUUGGUGGGUGUGGAUGAGUGGCGAACGGGUGAGUAACACGUGAGUAACCUGCCCCCUUCUUCUGGAUAACCGCAUGAAAGUGUGGCUAAUACGGGAUAUUCUGGGUCUGUCGCAUGAUGGGUCUGGGAAAGAUAUUGUUUCGGUGGGGGAUGGGCUCGCGGCCUAUCAGCUUGUUGGUGGGGUGAUGGCCUACCAAGGCGGUGACGGGUAGCCGGCCUGAGAGGGUGGACGGUCACACUGGGACUGGGACACGGCCCAGACUCCUACGGGAGGCAGCAGUGGGGAAUAGUGCACAGUGGGCGCAAGCCUGAUGCAGCGACGCCGCGUGAGGGAUGGAGGCCUUCGGGUUGUGAACCUCUUUCGCCAGUGAAGCAGGCCUGCCUCGUUUGUGGGUGGGUUGACGGUAGCUGGAGAAGAAGCGCCGGCUAACUACGUG
This 494-nucleotide ribosomal RNA is filed under the name uncultured bacterium. RNAcentral's name for it is "partial 16S ribosomal RNA". It matches the Rfam family "Bacterial small subunit ribosomal RNA", at positions 28 to 507 of the family's 1533-position model. The record is from RNAcentral.